Molecule: small nuclear RNA, 114 nt
Organism: Boleophthalmus pectinirostris (great blue-spotted mudskipper)
Lineage: Eukaryota; Metazoa; Chordata; Actinopteri; Gobiiformes; Gobiidae
Product: U5 spliceosomal RNA
Exons: 1
Source: RefSeq, a predicted model, not a curated record
ACUCUUGUUUCUCUUCAGGUUGUACAAAUCUUUCGAGUUUAACUAAAGAUUUUCUUGGAGGGAAACAACAAGAGAUUAUCUAAAUUUUUUGACGCCCUGUUUCACACUGGGGCU